AAGUUUUAAGAGUCAAACUAAAUUUAGCAGAAGAGUUUUGAAUAAAAGAAAUUGAGCAAAAGUUGGAACAAAAAACGAUAUAAUCUGUUUUAAAGUGAAUAAAAGUAUUUUGUUUUGUUUUCUUAUUAACUUUUUUAGCUAAAUUAUUGUAGAAGAAAAAUUGGUGAAUAGUGAAAGGCAAAACUAAAUGACAGUAGUCAUAGGGCAUAUUUAGGGUAAUUGGUGUUUAAAAUGUAUAUAUAUAAAUAUGUUAUUAUUAAUAUUGUAUUCAAUUGUAUU
Molecule: long non-coding RNA, 279 nt
Organism: Drosophila arizonae
Lineage: Eukaryota; Metazoa; Arthropoda; Insecta; Diptera; Drosophilidae
Source: RefSeq, a predicted model, not a curated record